GGGUUCGAUCAUGGCUCAGAUUGAACGCGCUGGCGGGAUGCUUUACACAUGGCAGUCGAACGGCAGCACGGACUUCGGUCUGGUGGCGAGUGGCGAACAGGUGAGUAAUGUAUCGGAACGUGCCUAAUGGCGGGGAUAACUACGCGAAAGCGUAGCUAAUACGCCCUUCGGGGAAAGCGGGGAACGCCCUGGACUCUGCACUAUUAGAGCGGCCGAUAUCGGAUGGCGCUAGUUGGUGGGGUAACGGCUCACCAAGGCGACGAUCCGUAGCUGGUUUGAGAGGACGACCAGCCACACUGGGACUGAGACACAGCCCGAACUCCUGGAGGCAGCAGUGGGGGUAUUUUUGGACAUGGAAACCUGAUCCAGCCAUCCCCGCGUGUUGCGAUGAAGGCCUUCGGGUUGUAAAGCACUUUUGGCAGGAAAGAAACGGCGCGGGAUACAUAUGCCGGUGACGAAAGCGGUACCUGCAGAAUAAGCACCAGCUAACUACGUGCCAGCCGCGGUAUGCGGCAGGGUGCAAGCGUUAAUCAAUUACUGGGCGUAGCGUGCUUUUGACGGUUCGGAAAAGAAGAUGUGAAAUCCCAAGAGCUUAACUUUGGAACUGCAUUUUUAACUACCGAGCUGAAAUUGUCCCGGAGGUGGAAUUCCGCGUGUAGCAGUGAAAUGCGUAGAUAUGCGGAGGAACACCGAUGGCGAAGGCAGCCUCCUGGGAUAACACUGACGCUCAUGCACGAAAGCGUGGGAGCAAACAGGAUUAGAUACCCUGGUGAUCCGCCUAAACAGAUGUAACUAGCUGUUGGGGCGCCCGGGCCUUGGUAUUGGCGCAACUAACGCGUGAAGUUGACGCCUGGGGAGGCCGAUCGCAAGAUUAAAACUCAAAGGAAUUGACGGGGACCCGCACAAGCGGUGGAUGAUGUCGGAUUAAUUCGAUGCAACGCGAAAAACCUUACCUACCCCUGACAUGUCUGGAAUCCCGAGGUGCCCGGGAGUGCUCGCAAGAGAACCCGGAACAGGUGCUGCAUGGCUGUCGAUAAACAAUAUAGUGAGAUGUUGGGUUCAGUCCUGGCGCGAGGCACAGCCCGCCGUGCAUUAGUUGCUGCGAAAGGGCACUCUAAUGAGACUGCCGGUGACAAACCAGAGGAGAGGUGGGGAUGACGUCAGUCCUCUUGGCCUGUGGGUAGGGCUUCACACGUCAUACAAUGGUCGGGACAGAGGGUCGCCAGCCCGCGAGGGCCAAUCCCAGAAACCCGAUCGUAGUCGGAUCAAAGUCUGCAACUCGACUGUGGAGAAGUCGGAAUCGCUAGUAAUCGCGGAUCAGCAUGUCGCGCGAGUGAAUAGUCCCGGGUCUUGUACACACCGCCCGUCACACCAUGGGAGUGGGUUUUACCAGAAGUAGUUAGCCUAACCGUAGGGAGGGCGAUUACCACGGUAGGAUUCAUGACUAUAGGUGAAGUCGUAACAAGGUAA
This 1470-nucleotide ribosomal RNA is filed under the name uncultured Bordetella sp. RNAcentral describes it as "partial 16S-23S ribosomal RNA intergenic spacer". It matches the Rfam family "Bacterial small subunit ribosomal RNA". Lineage: Bacteria; Pseudomonadati; Pseudomonadota; Betaproteobacteria; Burkholderiales; Alcaligenaceae. The record is from RNAcentral.